Long non-coding RNA from Mus musculus (house mouse), 1546 nucleotides. RefSeq annotates it as predicted gene, 35846. The transcript has 4 exons. NCBI's taxonomy places the organism in Eukaryota, Metazoa, Chordata, Mammalia, Rodentia, Muridae. The record is from RefSeq and is a predicted model, not a curated record.
AGGCCUGGCCAGCCUGAGUCCUGUCCUGACUCUGCUAACAAGGGUCUUAGGUAAAGGAGCAGGUCUGGGGCCCUUCCCUUCCUGUCCAGAACCCCGGCACUGGCUGGGGCCUAUUGCCAAUCAGGCCUGGGAGAUGACAUAGGGACAUUGACAAAGCAUAUGCCAAGGGCUGCAGGGGGACUGCUAGAGAGGGGGCGGGAGCGCCUAAGGUUUUACCCUUCCUAUAUCACCCUGGCACUCCAGAGGGCCACCUUGCCCCAGAUGCAUUAGUCUCUGGUUUGGGAUACACCUGGGAGUAAGAGAGACAGGCAGACCGACCAACUCUGUCAGGGUGGGGUCUAGUGAGGGAGAGAUAACCAGAGUCGCAGAACUGCUAUGGAGAUAAGGCUGAGAAUGGGGCGGCCGCGGAGCUGAGUGGCCACGAAACGGAGAAGGGUCCAGGAGGAAGAGAUCAGUACAGUGAGGGUGAGCGACCAGGACGAGGUUCAGCAGCCUGAGUGACCGGCCUGACCCCUGGACAAAGCAGAUGCAGGUGGGAUGUAGAGAGCACGGAAGUGGUCUGCAGCACAAAGGGCUCCUUGCCUGUGGGAGGCAGCCAGUGAGCUGACCCUUGAGAGACACCAUAUGAACAUGUGACCUUGGAGAGGAACCCCACACAACCCCAAGGAAGACAAGCAUUCCUACACUGAAUGGUUGUAAGUUCAAAGCCAGCUUGGUCAUUUCCCGGACAAUCUGAUACACAUAGACUUUCAGGGCUGCAAAGGAAGCCUAGGAAGACUCUGUCUCAUGAAACCAAUAUACAUAUGAUAUGAUAUAGGUGAGUAAGUACAUGAAUGUGCAUGCGUGCUUGUGGGUGUGUGUUUGUAUCAUACAUAUAACAUGAAGCUUGCUCCUAGGUUUUCUUCUGUUUUAUGGUUUUAGUUCUUUCUUGUAAUAGGUUUGUGACUCACUUUGCUUGUUAUGUUUUUAGCAUAUUAUGCAGCAAGACAGUGGUUGCUCUACUAUCUCUUGUAACUUUGGAGAUAAGCACAGAUGCCCUUCCACCACGUGUGCCAGUGUGAUGUAAGGAGCAGCACAGGUGACAGGGUCCCGGGCACUGCUAACACUGUCCACAUUCUUCAAUUGCUCUCCCACAUUCAUGGCCUCCUGAAUUCUUUCCGUUCAGCUCAGAUUUUAAAAUCUAGCUAAAACUUUCAGUUUCUAAGUUUUUUUUCUGUUGUUCUCGUUUUUGUUUUUUCUUUUCUUUUCUUUUCUUUUCUUUUCUUUUCUUUUCUUUUUUUUCGGUUUUUUUGAGACAGGGUUUCUCUGUAUAGCCCUGGCUGUCCUGGAACACACUUUGUAGACCAGGCUGGCCUCCAACUCAGAAAUCCACCUGCCUCUGCCUCCAGAGUGCUGGGAUUAAAGGCUCCAGGUCUCUGUUUUCUUGCCUCCUGCUGGCCCUAGCCAUUGUCUGUAUCCAUCUUUGUAGAAGCUAUUCCUGGCCUACUUGGAUGUUCUAAUAAUGAAUCAUGUAAAAUCAUAAUAAAGUAUCAACAUGAGCCAUCAA